AGUCACUGACAUUAGAUACCCCCUGUAGUCCAGGGUGUAAACGCUAGCAGACUUGGUGUUGGAGGCCCUUUGGGGGCAUUCAGUGCCGGAGAGAAGUUGUUAAGUCUGCUACUUGGGGAGUACGUCCGCAAGGAUGAAACUUAAAGGAAUUGGCGGGGGAGCACCGCAACGGGAGGAGCGUGCGGUUUAAUUGGAUUCAACACCGUAAAACUCACCAGGGAAGACUGUUACAUGAAGGCCGAGAUGAAGACUCUGCUAGAUUUUCAG
Molecule: ribosomal RNA, 267 nt
Filed under: uncultured archaeon
Lineage: Archaea
Description: partial 16S ribosomal RNA
Rfam family: Archaeal small subunit ribosomal RNA
Source: RNAcentral